UACGUAGGCGGCGCUGUCAGUCGGGUGUGAAAUCCCUCGGCUCAACCGAGGAACUGCGCCCGAUACUGCAGUGCUUGAGGGAGACAGAGGUAAGCGGAACUGAUGGUGGAGCGGUGAAAUGCGUUGAUAUCAUCAGGAACACCAGUGGCGAAAGCGGCUUACUGGGUCUCUUCUGACGCUGAGGUACGAAAGCUAGGGGAGCGAAGGGGAUUAGAUACCCCCGUAGUCCUAGCUGUAAACGUUGAGCACUUGAUCGAGGGCCCCCCCAUAGGCUCUCGGUCGUAGCGAAAGUGUUAAGUGCUCCGCCUGGGGAGUAUGGUCGCAAGGCUGAA
Molecule: ribosomal RNA, 332 nt
Filed under: uncultured Planctomycetota bacterium
Lineage: Bacteria; Pseudomonadati; Planctomycetota
Description: bacterial SSU rRNA
Rfam family: Bacterial small subunit ribosomal RNA
Source: RNAcentral